This is a long non-coding RNA of Nematostella vectensis (starlet sea anemone), 693 nucleotides long. RefSeq lists it as uncharacterized. The record is from RefSeq and is a predicted model, not a curated record. The transcript has 2 exons. NCBI's taxonomy places the organism in Eukaryota, Metazoa, Cnidaria, Anthozoa, Actiniaria, Edwardsiidae.
AAUAGUAAUUGAGUAAGGGGUGACUUAUGGAAGAUGGUAAAUAGGGUGGUGUGGAUUACAAAGUAGCUAAACGGUUUCUUCACAUAUGUUUGUGUAUUAAAAAAAAAUAAAAAAUAAAAAUAACCCGGUCCGCCGAGGUCUGGUCCGCGUAGGUCCUGUCUUCAUUUUACAAAGACCCGCUCCCAUUAUUGAUAAAAAUUUCUGCAGUAAUCAAGCAGUGCUCAUGCGCACACAACUAAUAUGCAGAUAAACGUAACGUAUACAAUUUUUACUCUUACACCUAAGUUCUUUACCAAAUCAUCAGAUGUUUUUGAAAAUAGACAAACAAGACAUGAUAUCGCCUUUUUUUAAAUAUGAUUUUCUAAUAAAGAAAGACUAGGACUCAAAACGGUAUGUUCUUAUCGGGAUUAGGAUACCUGUGGAAAGUCACGCAUUUUCAUCUGGCAGACCGCUGAUCAGUUGUUGUCAUCUGAAACCAGACUCGUGUUGUAGUACUUGACCUUUGCAUUGAAAUUAAUCUUACAAAUCGGCUUUUUCCCUGAAAACCUCUUGGCAGAAGUAACUUCCAAGGAUGAACCAAGACAAUUAUACAGCAUCUGAGAUUAGUAUACAGCAAGGGUAGAGUUUAUUUUCUGUGAUUUUUCUCCUGUACAAACAGGUAUGUGUAUCUAAUAAAGACGGCUGUCAAGAAAA